UUGCGCACACACUUUACUAUUUGCGCAAAUGGCAAAAACGAAGCCCAACUCACACAUCAAUUUGUAAAAUGUCACAAAUGCCCUCGUUCCUAGUAUACGUUUGAUACACUUUAUGCACGUAUGAUACACCUAAUACAUCCUCUGAUACACUUGAUACAUUUGAUGCACAUGAUACUCUUUGAUACACUUGAUACUUUUUGACACACACCUGAAACAUUACUAAUAUAUGUUUGAUACACUUGAUACACUGCAGAUACAUUUAGUAUUUUUCACUUAUACAAUUGACUUAUUAAAUGCACUUGAUAUGCUUGAAGUCUUACUUAUACACUUGAUAUACUAUUGAUAUACACUUUUAAACUUAAUUCAUGUACUUGAUAAUGAUUCACUUUACUGAUAUGCUUUAACAAUAUAUUGUUGAUAUACUUGAUCAUGAUACAUUGAGUUACAUCAUUAAUAUACUUAAUAAUAAUCUAAUGAACUGCAUAAAACUUGAAAAAAAAUAAAAAUCGUUAGUACAUUAACUAACUAAUACAUAUAAUAUAAGUAUAUCACAACACUGAUAUACGAAACUGAGACAAAGUAAAACAAAAAAACUAAUGUAAAAAAAUAAAACAAAAUCAUUUGGCAUUAGAUUCAACUCAAAAUAUACCUUAAAGAAAGUAAAAAAAAAUCACAAAUGAAAUUAAAUUACUUCGAUCAACUAUUGAUAUUUUAAAAUUAAGAUUAAGACAGAAAAAACAAAUAACUUUUCUAGUAUAAGAAUAAAUAAAUAAUUAGGGCCUUAAAAAGUGGAAGAAUAAAUAAAUAAUGAGUAGGACAAAAAAAAGAAAGAAAUAAGUUAUUGAAAUGUAGUUUAUGAAUAAUAACAAAUUUAAGGUGGAAAAGUGAAAAUUUUUCCAUAUUUGCAAAAUUUUAAAACAAUGUGCUAUAAUUGUUGUAUCAUAUUCUCAAAAUGCUAUCUUAUGCAGUUUCCCUAAACUAUAAUAUGAACUACUUCACGAGUUUUUUAAUAAGAGUUAUGUGUUUAAUCUAUGGUGACUACCUAGCUACGAGUUUUUUUUAUACCCAAAUUUUAAGAAAACACUCGUAACCAAAUUGGAAAGAAAAUAGAGUUUUAAACAAAAAUGAUGUAUAUUAACCUUUAUAAUAAAGUGUUUAAAAAGAUUGGUAUUUAUGAAAAAUAUUAUUUUCAAUAGAGAGGUGAGAGGAGGGAGAAAUAUAAUUAAAGAAAAAGAUUGAUUUAAUAAAAGGGUCAAAUUGAAACCAUAUUAUAAAACUAUAAUUUGAUAUAAAUUUAUGAAAUUUGAAAGAUUAUGGGUAUCACUAUUACCAACUCCAUAGUUUAAGAAGAGUAGUUUUAAAAUCAUUGAGAUUGAAUCUUGACUUCUUCAAUAUUUCAUUUCAAAGAUAUGAAUUUUGUUUGAGUGAAUUAAUUCAAAUUUGUCAUCACUACCGCAAAUCAACAACUCAGAAUCUUUGUUCUCGUCUGAAGCAUAUUGUAAAAUUUUAGAAAAUUACAAAUAUAACAAAAUUACAAAUAUUUAUGACUCAUGUCACAAAUUGAUAAGAUCCAUGAAAUUUAUCAUUUUAGAAAUUUUUUGGAAAAUUAACAAAAAUAGGAUAAUUUUUAAGGGUUUAAAGAGUUUUAGGAUGGAUUUUAAAAAAGAUGACAUUUAGGACAAAUUAACUAGGAAAAGUCAAUAUUACCCUUUAGUUAUAAAAAAAACCUAAAAAACAAUUUAUGGAAUUCCUUCUCCUUCUUCCUCCAUUUUCUCACUUCCAAAAAGAAUAUUUCAUUUUUCUCUCAGCUCUCUCUAUCCGUAUUCCAUUUUUCCUCAUUUUCACGGAACCUUUGAUUUCAUUUUUCUUCAUUUCUCAUUUUUCAUUCACAAAACUACAAAAACAAUGGUAGUUCCAGUGAUUUCAUUGUGGAACAUGACUUGGGACUCGUGAUCUUGCUGCGAAAAUUGGAUUCCGACGAGGAGGGGUAACAAUUUGAUUUUGAAAAUAAUAGUAAAAGUUUUGAAAUGUGCAAGAUAGGUGCGAGAUGUGUACGACGAGAUAGGUACGAGAUGUGUACGAGAUAUGUGCAAGAUGUGUACGAGAUAGGUGCGAGAUAGGUGCAUUCAACCAUUCAAUGAAAAUGCACAACAACAAAGGCAAUCCGAUCAAAACAAUCCCUAAACAUAAAGUGCGUGGUUAUAAAAAAAAGACUGAGAAAGGAGAACCUUGCACGCCGCAUCUUCGACGGAAAAUCUUGCACGCCGCGUACAAACUGACCACCAAUGGAUGCCUGAACGGUUGGCAACGGUAAAUGAGAUGCGACAACGACUGAGAAAGGAGAAGAGUUGAAGUCGGGCUGCCCUUUGU
RNAcentral lists this long non-coding RNA (2370 nucleotides) under Cucumis sativus (cucumber). RNAcentral's name for it is "long non-coding RNA (CSAT_LNC002659)". Lineage: Eukaryota; Viridiplantae; Streptophyta; Magnoliopsida; Cucurbitales; Cucurbitaceae. The record is from RNAcentral.